Molecule: long non-coding RNA, 442 nt
Filed under: Sarcophilus harrisii (Tasmanian devil)
Lineage: Eukaryota; Metazoa; Chordata; Mammalia; Dasyuromorphia; Dasyuridae
Description: lncRNA (ENSSHAG00000023177.1)
Source: RNAcentral
CUUCCAAAGACAGCUCCAGGACGUGAGGGUGCUUUGGCGGUCUUCAGCUGCACAGCAGGGGGUCCUCCUCUAAAGACAGCUCCAAGACAUGGUCUCCCUCAGUCACAUGGAUUGGAAAACCUGGGAAAAAUUCAAGAGAACAGAGGGUGAGGUGGCGUUCUUCAGCUGCACAGCAGGAGGUUCUAGUCCAAAGACAGCUCCAGGACAUCGGCCAAUUUUCAGAGGGUGCCUUGGCGGCCUUCAUCUGCACAGCAGGGGGUCCUCCUCCAAGACAGAUCCAGGACAUGGCUUUGUUCCCAGAGUUCCUGGCCCUCAAUUGCACAGAAUGGCAUCCUCCAUACACAGAAGCUCCAGAACAUUGACAGUGAUUCCUGUGCAGCACAAAGAGAAGUCCUCCCUAAAGCAACAACACUCCUCCCUGCCGGGAGGAAAUUUUCAGUAA